GGGGGUAUAGCUCAGUGGCAGAGCAAACGACUUAUAAUCGGAAGGUCUCGGUUCGACCCCCGGUGCCUCCA
RNAcentral lists this transfer RNA (71 nucleotides) under Strongylocentrotus purpuratus (purple sea urchin). It matches the Rfam family "tRNA". From Rfam's summary of the family: Transfer RNA (tRNA) molecules are approximately 80 nucleotides in length. Their secondary structure includes four short double-helical elements and three loops (D, anti-codon, and T loops). Further hydrogen bonds mediate the characteristic L-shaped molecular structure. tRNAs have two regions of fundamental functional importance: the anti-codon, which is responsible for specific mRNA codon recognition, and the 3' end, to which the tRNAs corresponding amino acid is attached (by aminoacyl-tRNA synthetases). tRNAs cope with the degeneracy of the genetic code in two manners: having more than one tRNA (with a specific anti-codon) for a particular amino acid; and 'wobble' base-pairing, i.e. permitting non-standard base-pairing at the 3rd anti-codon position. The record is from Rfam by way of RNAcentral. Lineage: Eukaryota; Metazoa; Echinodermata; Echinoidea; Camarodonta; Strongylocentrotidae.